This 2770-nucleotide long non-coding RNA is filed under the name Sus scrofa (pig). RNAcentral describes it as "lncRNA (ENSSSCG00055012771.1)". The record is from RNAcentral. Lineage: Eukaryota; Metazoa; Chordata; Mammalia; Artiodactyla; Suidae.
AGAUCAGAGAGGACGUUCUCCUAGGCCAGAAGACAGGAAGUGGUAAUCAAGGGUUGUACGCUGGAGGGGUUAUGGGCCAAACGUGGAAUUUCUAUCCAUCACUUCUACCCACUCUGGGUAUUUACGUGGCCAGCAUCCAGUCAUGUGGCUGCACCUACCUGCAAGAGGGGCUGGGAAGCCCAGCCCAGUGCUUGCCCAGGAGGAAGAGCUCUUCCUAAAAGGCACGGUUAUCCUACAAAGUCAUGAAAUCAUGAGACACUGGAGUGAGGCUUAGACUCCAUCCCUUCCACUGGCAAAAGCUUCAUGAGAGUGGCUCCAUCAUCACUAACCCUUCACCUCUGUCCCCAACUCAGUCACUCUCUGCCCAGUGUUCUCAGAUCUCCAGUCAGCCCUCUGAACUCCCAAAGUCUUCAAACUUGCUUCAGGCCCAUGAAAUGCUUUUAAUGGAUCACUGAACUCAGCACUUAGGAACCAGUGUUUGUUAAAAAGAGCGAAACAGAAGAAAACUCAUGCUGAAAAACGACAAAAAUCUCCUUCCCUUUACCUGAGUCCUUAUCUCUAUCUGUUGAAAGUUCUGUCUCCUGUUUAAACAGCAGAGUUCUCCAAUUUUAGUACGCGCCAAAAUUACCAGAAAAAAAACCACAGCGAGAUACCAACUCACAUCUACGAGGAUGGUUAUGAUCAAAAAUAGGGAAAAUAACAAGUGUUGGUGAAGAUGGGGAGAGCAGCCUCAUGCAUAAGAAUGUAAAAUGAUGCAGCUGGCAGCAGACAUUUUGGCAUUCCUCUCAGAGUCAAACAUAAAAUUAUCUUUUGACCCAGCAAUUCCAUUACUAGGUAUACACACCAAAAAAUUGAAAACUGGGAUUUGAACAGAUACUCCAAGACCAACAUUCAUAGCAGCAUUAUUCACAAGUGCCAAAGGUGGCGUGGCUGUCCAUCAACAGAAGAAUCAAUGGGUAAACAGUAUGUGAUAUAGUCAUGCAGUGGAAUAUUAUUCAGCCAUAAAAAGGGAUGCAGUUAACGAUACAUGGUACAACAUGGAUGAAAGUGAAAAAUAUUUAUGCUCGAUGAAACAAGCCAGACACAAAAAAAGGCACAUAGUAUAUGAUUCUAUUUAUAUGAACUAUCUAGAAUAGACUAAUUCCCAGUGACAGAGAGUCGUUUAGGGGUUAUCAGAGGCUAUGGGGAAGGAGGAAUUAUUGCUUAAUGGGUACAAGAGAUUCUGUUUGGAUAGGAAAGUUUUGGAAGCAGAGAGUGGUGAUGACUGCACAACAGGGUUGAUGUGAUUAAUGCCUGCUGCUGGAUUAUACAUUUUAAAAUGGUUUAAAUGGCAUAUUUUACAUUACAUAUAUUUUACCACAAUUUUUUGAGAAAUUACCUAAAGAGGUUGCUGAAACGCAGAUUCCUGGAACCCGCUCCCAGACCUGAAUCACCAAGUCCACGGUAGGUGCCACGGUGCGCCUUUUUAACCAGGUCUUGUAUUCCUAGAACUUUAAUCGCCGCUGGUAUUUUCGUUGUAAACAUCUUUCCUCGAAAGCGGUUUCCGCAAAACUUGGCCGUAAAGCGCUUCUGCCGUAAACGGUAAAAUAACCGAUCAGUUUGGUUUCAAUGCCGUAAAAGAUAACGUAAAAGAGGCUGCUAGUAAUUCACCAGAGCCUUCCAGAGCGUUUAUCAAUUCUUUAGCUAAUUUAGGUACGGCGGCUUGUUCUCUAUCUCCUCUUUACUGAAUUUAUUAUGCAGUAUUUGAAGUUGGAGGCAAAAGAACAAUCAAGCCCUUCCUAUUCCCCCGAAAUAAAUGGCAGCAUGAUUCCUGAUGAGUUUAAGUUUCUUGAAAAUGGUGAAAAGUUGUUAUUAUUUGAUAGUGGAGAACGUAAUGGAGACAGAAUUUUGGUAUUUGGCACAGAAUCUGGCUCAGAGGAUUUGGUGAAAUAUAAGGACUAGGCAUGUGAUGGAGUUUUGAUUUAUGUAGUUUUUGGUGAGGUUUGUUUAUUUGUUUGUUUUGUUUUGUUUUGUCUUUUUAGGGCCGCAGCCGUGGCAUAUGGAGGUUCCCAGGAAGGAUCUAAUUGGAACUGUCACUGCCGGCCACAGCCACAGGCACAGCAACGCCAGAUCCUUAACCCACUGAGCGAGGCCAGGGAUCGAACCUUCAACCUCAUGGUUCCUAGUCGGAUUCAUUUCCACUGUGCAACGAUGGGAACUCCGAUGGAGUUUUUAAAUGUAGUCCAGAGAGUUACUUCCAGUUAUAUAGGUCACACAUACUGAUAAGAAAUAAUAGCAACCCUUAUCUAUUUGUUUUACUUCCAAGGAAAUCUGAAGAGACUUAUAGCAGAUUUUUUUAAUAUAUUGUAAAAAACUUAUAGUCUGACAUUAAAGGCUGAACUUUUAAAAAACAACUCUGAGAAAGGAAGUAUCAUUGCUUUCUCGAAGACAUUCCCAGAUACAACUAUAAUCAUAAAUCUACACACAUUUCAAAUGUAUUCAUGGGGGAGGGGGAAGGAGUGGGAUGGACUAGGAUUCUGGUGUUAAUAGAUGCAAACUAUUGCAUUUGGAGUGGAUAAGCAAUGAGAUCCUGUCACUAGUCACUUAUGAUGGAACAUGACGGAGGAUAAAAUAAGAAAAAGGAUGUAUAUAUGUGUGUGUGUGUGUGUGUGUGUGUGUGUGAUUGGGUCACUGCUGUACAGUAGAAAUUGACAGAACACUGUAAACCGACUAUAAUGGAAAAAAUAAAAAUCAUUUUAAAAUGCCCCCCCAAAAUAAGUAAAAUAAAAUG